CUUCAUCUUUCAUGUUAACUUCUGAUUUUCAAACAUUUUGGUCGUGAGGAUCAUCGAAGAUACCUUGAAUGUCUAAAUGCCCAUCUCUGGGGCAGAAAAGUUGGUACUGUUUAAGUUAUUAAAACGAAGUUAUAAUUAAUUUUUUUAUGCCCCCACAACUAAAAGUUGGGGGGCAUUUUGUUAUACCCCUGUCUGUCUACGUCCCAAAAUUGGUUUCCCUUCUCUAACUUUAGUUUGCCAUCAGCAGAUGUUAUGAAACUUAUACACAAUGCUUC
RNAcentral lists this long non-coding RNA (275 nucleotides) under Mytilus galloprovincialis (Mediterranean mussel). The record is from RNAcentral. Lineage: Eukaryota; Metazoa; Mollusca; Bivalvia; Mytilida; Mytilidae.